RNAcentral lists this long non-coding RNA (567 nucleotides) under Homo sapiens (human). RNAcentral describes it as "HSALNT0224720". The record is from RNAcentral. Lineage: Eukaryota; Metazoa; Chordata; Mammalia; Primates; Hominidae.
GCCAGUUCUGGAGGGUGGUUGCUUGCAAAGGGCCACAGGACCACUUCCAGGGCCUGCUUGUCCUGCAGAAGGUGGCCUGAAGGGGUGGCCAAGAGAUGCUUCUCAUCAGAGACAGGACGGAAGGAGGAAUGAGUGCACGGAGCUGGUUCCUGUGGGCUUCCUAGUCUACGUGCUAGAUCGUAAAAGAUGUUGCUGUUUCUACCCUGCUCUCUUGGAUCGCUUGCUCUGGAGGGAAGCUGGUCACCAUGUUGUGAGGACACCUAAGCAGGCUGUGGAAAGGACCGCAUGGAGAGCUGAGCCUUCCUGCCAACAACCAGCCCCAACUUUCCAGCCAUGAAAAGAAGCCCCCUUGGAAGCAGGUCUUCCAGCCCCAGGCAAGCCUCCGGAUGACUGUGGCCCUGGCUGAUGUCUUGGUUGCAACUUCAUCAGAGACCACAGCUAGAACCACUUAAAUUCCUGACCUAUAAAAUUUGCGUGACAUGAUAAAUGUUUAUUGUAUUAAGCCUCCGUGUUUUAAGAUAAUCUAUUAUGUAGCAAUACAUAACUAAUACAUAGUCUUUAUGUGUG